Non-coding RNA from Podarcis lilfordi (Lilford's wall lizard), 190 nucleotides. NCBI's taxonomy places the organism in Eukaryota, Metazoa, Chordata, Lepidosauria, Squamata, Lacertidae. The record is from the annotation of a GenBank genome assembly.
AUUCCUGAUGUUUUGUCGGAAUCUCCUUUCUUGUAACUUGAAACCAUUGGUUCGAGGCCUACCCUCCACAGCAGGAGAGAGAAGCUUGUUCCCGCUUCCACAUGACAGCCCUUGAGAUAUUUGAAGAUGGCUAUCAUAUCUCCUCUCAGUCUCCUCUUUUCCAGGCUAAACAUACCCAGCUCCUUCAAGC